This 443-nucleotide ribosomal RNA is filed under the name uncultured bacterium. Its description in RNAcentral is "partial 16S ribosomal RNA". It matches the Rfam family "Bacterial small subunit ribosomal RNA", at positions 338 to 795 of the family's 1533-position model. The record is from RNAcentral.
CCUACGGGAGGCAGCAGUGGGGAAUAUUGGACAAUGGGGGGAACCCUGAUCCAGCGACGCCGCGUGAGUGAAGAAGUAUUUCGGUAUGUAAAGCUCUAUCAGCAGGGAAGAAAGAAAUGACGGUACCUGACUAAGAAGCCCCGGCUAACUACGGGCCAGCAGCCGCGGGAAUACGUCGGUGGCAAGCGUUAUCCGGAUUUACUGGGUGUAAAGGGAGCGUAGACGGCAAGGCAAGUCUGGAGUGAAAGCCCGUGGCGCAACCAAGGGACUGGAUUGGAAACUGUUUGGCUGGAGUGCAGGGGGGGUAAGUGGAAUUCCUAGUGUAGCGGUGAAAUGCGUAGAUAGUAGGAGGAACACCGGUGGCGAAGGCGGCUUACUGGACUGUAACUGACGUUGAGGCUCGAAGGCGUGGGGAGCAAACAGGAUUAGAUACCCGAGUAGUC